Long non-coding RNA from Daucus carota subsp. sativus, 3280 nucleotides. RefSeq lists it as uncharacterized. The record is from RefSeq and is a predicted model, not a curated record. The transcript is spliced from 3 exons. Lineage: Eukaryota; Viridiplantae; Streptophyta; Magnoliopsida; Apiales; Apiaceae.
AUUCAUAUUCCGUGCUGGUAAUUUCAUCAAGUAAACAGAAAUUAUGUAUAACCUCAAGUUAUAUUACAUUACCGUUGUAACAUUAUUCUUGAACUUGGUAGAUUCAGUGAAUGUGCUAAGAUCUGUUUUCACGUUUAGAAAUCAUGUAGCUAGCUUUUAGCCACAUCCCUCCAGCCCGGAACAAUCAGUGUCUUUGAGAACAUCUUUUUUAUUGUGACAUGUCAUUCUCAAUGAGAAUGUGAUUAGUUACUUGCCUGAAAUAUUUAUAUUAAAUUGGGAUGUACAUCACAUGAAAGACUCAAUAGUUUUGUAUAAACUAUAAAGUAGCAUCUUCCCGGAGAUUGAAACUAAUGCAUACCCUUUUUAACUUGGCAUCUUUUCUAACAAGAUCUCUGUGGUAAAAUGGCAUCAUAUGAUCUGAGAUAAUUGUGGUCCAGAAUCUAGUCUAUUGGUCCUGGAACUAAAUUCGAGAUGUUAUAUCAUCUUCUAGCAUAGAAUAGGUUGGACUGCUAGGGUUCCGUACACAGUCUUUUUCUCUUUUUCAGUCAGUCAGUAGCAAAAUUCUACUCCUUGUAUGAUUGUAUAUCAGAAAAGUUACAUAUGAGACCGCCGUGAAAAUAAAACAAUUAUGGAAAACCAAUAACAGCAUAGAGCUUGUUUGAACAAGAGUCUGGGAAAUUCAGGUGGUGUUUGCUAUCGUUUUCUGUUUUCUGUUGUUUAAAACUGUUUCUAAUUAUAUAUUUACUGAAAAUUACUUGUACAACUAAGACCAAAAGCACUACAUUUUUUAUCAUAAGACUGUUUUUUUAUGUUCUUAAAAACAGAAAACAGUUCUUUAGUUGUGAAGCCAAACAGACACUUAGUUUCUACGAGGUAUAUAGAGGAAUGCACAGAAAGACCUACUUUUUUCUAAUUCAUGCCACUAAUGAAUGUCAAUUGAUGCUCACAGCUGGUGCAAUGUUUUAGUUCCUAGAAGUGAAACAUGGAGGAACAACUUUUGACUUACAGCUUGCAGCGGCUACAGUAAUUUUGAAUGGCUCCCACCACAUUAGACAAUGUCAAGAAGUGUCUGCUUCUAACCCAUCAUCAGUCCAUUCUUUGUGGGUACUCGCUCUUAUCCUCCUCCUCCUCAUAUAUGAUACUUCUCAAUUUAUUAUACAAGCUCAGGGUUACUCUUAUCUGCAGUGAGUUAACUGAUAAUUAUCCUGUCAAUACUUAUAUGCAGUACUAAUCUUGAUACCGGAAUGUCUUAAGCAUAUAUACAUUCCAGAGUCGCGAUAUGCUAAAGCCAUGUGGCCGGUUAGUUGUCUAUAUGCUUGAUUGUGAUGGUUUAGGUUUGAGGUUGAGGAUAAUGGAAAAGGAGAGGGAUACAAAAGCACGUUGAGAAGUUAAGCGAUCACGUGAGGGGUGGCUGCAGAGCUGCAGCUGGCUAAACUAGAAACUGUUGAAACCUAAUCAACCAUAUCCUCAUACUAUGUUUUAGCACACCAGCAGCCCACAAUUAUAGGCACAUGAUCCCAGUCCCAACCCGAGGGCUAACUGAGGGCCUAUGUUUAGCUGUAGUCAAUAGUACGGGGUAAAUUCUAUGGUUAAGAUUCGGAUACAUGUGCUAAUCACGUUGAUUAAUAUAUAGUCCGCGCAAUCGCUUUCAACCUUUUAAGCUAACUAAUAAUUAUCAUGUAGUGUAUCAGAUUAUCUGUGAUUGCAAGUUAGUUAAGAAAGGUUUGAAAUAAUUAAGGGUUCCUAAAAGGUACUCAGAGAUUGUGUAACCACUAAACUAGUUAAUAGUAGUAGUUACAUGUACUAUUAAUAUUCCAUGCCAGAGGGUCUGCUGAAUUUGAGAUGUUGUCAUCUCUUGCAUAUCACAUGGCAGAAGGAUAAAAUUUAAUAUAUAGUGGUUGAAAAUUAUAAACCUAAUGGUUUGUUCCUGCUGAACUGAGCAAGAAACAUGCAUGGUGGGAAAGACUUGGCUACCAAGACAAACCCCUCUUUUAUGGUCUUGUUAAUUGCUUGACUUUAACUAAAUACUACUCCAUUUAUAUUUAUUUAUUAGUUACUUUUAUAUUAUAGCAACUGGGUAAUAUUAUAUGAUAUGUGACAUAAAUUUUAGUUGUGAGUUAGUACAUUAAUUAUAUUUGUUUAAUUUUGUGUGUGUAAUGUUUGGGAAUGACAAUACAGAGUUAAUUACUUUAUGUCAUGCAUUGCAUAUAGUAAUAUUUGUAGUGAAUUGUUUCUGAAGAAAAAGUAAUUUGUAACAUGGUUCACUUAAAUAUAUUCCUUGAAUCAGAAGAAUGAAAUACAGUAUGUAUGUAAAAAGUCAGAGACUGACAAUUCAUAAUAAUUUUGUGUUACGUGGGCAGAUCACUGAAUUUUAAAUCAUCCACUCACAUGCAAACCCUCAUGCACCAUCAAGAAAUCUAUAGGUAUGAUCUGUGAUCAUUAGCCUAAACACGUUCUGGUUGUGAUCUUGCCAAUAAUUGACCCUGUGAUUAACAGAUGGAUUACCUGGUAAUCAGGAUAUUAGAAAACGACUAUAAUAAACGGAUACUCAUUUAUGAGACAUAUAUUUAUACGAGAUGGACAUAUUGUAUUGUCGCUGUUAUUAUCAUGAGAUUAAACACAUCGAUGGUACAUUCCGAAAAAUCGAGAUUAUGACAUGAUCAGAUGGUGCAUUGUAUGGGCUGGAGGCACACAACACACAGAAUGAGUGAAGAAAGGGCAAGGGGAUAUUAAGCAGAGAUGGAGAAGAAGAUAGUAAUCCCCAGCAAGCAGUAGGGUAGCCAUAAGUUGAUAGCAAUGAUUCUAUAUUAAAUCAAGUACAUUGUACUGUACAUGCAUAUAUGGCCUCUAUCUUUGCAUUAUUCAACAGUUGGUAUCUAUAUUUAAUAUCAUAAUGAUAUCCUCAUGUCAUGUUUCCUUUCCACCCAACUUAUCUCUAGCUUUUUGCCUGCCCUUCCUGGAUAAUUUUAAUUGAUUUUUAACUAAUCUUUUUGGUUCUAUGCACACCUUGUAAGUUGCAAGUGCUAGUAACUUGUCAAUGCAUUGUAUUUUCUUUCUUUCUUCAUGAGCAAUCAGUUUCUUUGGAGCUCCAAGACAACCACUGUAUGUUAGCUUAUUUUCGUGUGAUUGAUCUUAUCAUCGUGUCCUGGACACCAGGUUCCACUUAUUGACCCUUUUCCCCGAUUAUAAAAUAUUCUGAGUACAGAAAUUUAAAUAUCGAACCAUCCAAGUGGAAAUGGAGUCUUGUCUUGAUCCAAAUGGUGAUAAAUUUGAAACGAAA